Molecule: small nuclear RNA, 107 nt
Organism: Camelus dromedarius (Arabian camel)
Lineage: Eukaryota; Metazoa; Chordata; Mammalia; Artiodactyla; Camelidae
Source: Ensembl
GUGUUCACUUCGGCAGCACAUAUACUAAAAUUGGAACAAUACAGACAACACUAGCAUGACCCUUGUGCAAAGAUGACACGUAAAUACGUCAAGUGUUCCAUACUUAA